RNAcentral lists this ribosomal RNA (1509 nucleotides) under Lasiolabops sp. KLM-2013. RNAcentral's name for it is "SSU rRNA". It matches the Rfam family "Eukaryotic small subunit ribosomal RNA", at positions 416 to 1828 of the family's 1831-position model. Lineage: Eukaryota; Metazoa; Arthropoda; Insecta; Hemiptera; Miridae. The record is from RNAcentral.
CCAAGGAAGGCAGCAGGCACGCAAAGUACCCACUCCCAGCACGGGGAGGUAGUGACAAAAAAUAACGAUACGGGACUCAUUUGAGGCCCCGUAAUCGGAAUGAGUACACUUUAAAUCCUUUAACAAGGAUCCAUUGGAGGGCAAGUCAGGUGCCAGCAGCCGCGGUAAUUCCUGCUCCAAUAGCGUAUAUUAAAGUUGUUGCGGUUAAAAAGCUCGUAGUUGGUUCUGCGUGCCACGCUGUCGGUUCGCCGCCUGCCGGUGCUACUGGCAUGUCGUGGCAUGUCCUGUCGGUGGGUGUUCGGGGCCCCGUGCGGGCGGCAGGAGGCCGGGCUUGCUCGUGUUUCUCCCUGCACGUCGGCGGGUCCACUCCGGCUCCCUACUAUCCUACCUAGGUGCUCUUCACCGAGUGUCGAGGUAGGCCGACACGUUUACUUUGAACAAAUCAGAGUGCUUAAAGCAGGCUGAAAAAUUCUGCCUGAAUGAUGGCGCAUGGAAUAAUAAAACAGGACCUUGGUUCUAUUUUGUUGGUUCUUAGGAACACAAGGUAAUGAUCAAUAAGGACAGGCGGGGGCAUUCGUAUUGCGGGGUUAGAGGUGAAAUUCUUGGAUCCUCGCAAGACGACCGAGAGCGAAAGCAUUUGCCAAGUAUGUCUCGAUUGAUCAAGAACGAAAGUUAGAGGUUCGAAGGCGAUCAGAUACCGCCCUAGUUCUAACCAUAAACGAUGCCAGCCAGCGAUCCGCCGAUGUUCCUCCGAUGACUCGGCGGGGAGCUUCUCCCCGGGAAACCAAAGCUUUUGGGUUCCGGGGGAAGUAUGGUUGCAAAGCUGAAACUUAAAGGAAUUGACGGAAGGGCACCACCAGGAGUGGAGCCUGCGGCUUAAUUUGACUCAACACGGGAAACCUCACCAGCUCAGGACAUUGUAAGGAUUGACAGAUUGAUAGCUCUUUCUUGAUUCAGUGGGUAGUGGUGCAUGGCCGUUCUUAGUUGGUGGAUCGAUUUGUCUGGUUAAUUCCGAUAACGAACGAGACUCUAGCCUAUUAACUAGACGAUCCGAGAGCCCACGUCUCUCGCGACAAUCAAUCUUCUUAAGGGGACAGGCGGCUUAUAGUCGCACGAGAUUGAGCAAUAACAGGUCUGUGAUGCCCUUAGAUGUCCUGGGCCGCACGCGCGCUACAAUGAAAGAAUCAGCGUGUGUCUCCCAGCCCGAGAGGGCCGGGUAAUCCGCUGAACCUCUUUCGUGCUUGGGAUUGUAGCUUGCAAUUGUUCUUCAUGAACGAGGAAUUCCCAGUAAGCGCGAGUCAUAAGCUCGCGUUGAUUACGUCCCUGCCCUUUGUACACACCGCCCGUCGCUACUACCGAUUGAAUGAUUUAGUGAGGUCUUCGGACUGGCGGGAAAUCCCUAUCGCUCCGGCGGUAUCGACGAACGCUGGGAAGAUGACCAAACUUGAUCAUUUAGAGGAAGUAAAAGUCGUAACAAGGUCUCCGUAGGUGCACCUGCGGAAGGGAUCA